RNAcentral lists this ribosomal RNA (471 nucleotides) under Salmonella enterica subsp. enterica serovar Infantis. RNAcentral's name for it is "bacterial SSU rRNA". It matches the Rfam family "Bacterial small subunit ribosomal RNA", at positions 1044 to 1515 of the family's 1533-position model. The record is from RNAcentral. Lineage: Bacteria; Pseudomonadati; Pseudomonadota; Gammaproteobacteria; Enterobacterales; Enterobacteriaceae. RNAcentral also lists the same sequence under 1 other name.
CAUGGCUGUCGUCAGCUCGUGUUGUGAAAUGUUGGGUUAAGUCCCGCAACGAGCGCAACCCUUAUCCUUUGUUGCCAGCGGUCCGGCCGGGAACUCAAAGGAGACUGCCAGUGAUAAACUGGAGGAAGGUGGGGAUGACGUCAAGUCAUCAUGGCCCUUACGACCAGGGCUACACACGUGCUACAAUGGCGCAUACAAAGAGAAGCGACCUCGCGAGAGCAAGCGGACCUCAUAAAGUGCGUCGUAGUCCGGAUUGGAGUCUGCAACUCGACUCCAUGAAGUCGGAAUCGCUAGUAAUCGUGGAUCAGAAUGCCACGGUGAAUACGUUCCCGGGCCUUGUACACACCGCCCGUCACACCAUGGGAGUGGGUUGCAAAAGAAGUAGGUAGCUUAACCUUCGGGAGGGCGCUUACCACUUUGUGAUUCAUGACUGGGGUGAAGUCGUAACAAGGUAACCGUAGGGGAACCUGC